Psammomys obesus (fat sand rat) is the source of this 103-nucleotide small nuclear RNA. The record is from RefSeq and is a predicted model, not a curated record. Lineage: Eukaryota; Metazoa; Chordata; Mammalia; Rodentia; Muridae.
GCUCGCUUCGGCAGCACAUAUUAAAAUUGGAAGUAUACAGAGGAAAUUAGCAUUGCCCCUGCACGAGGAUGACAUGAAAGUUUGUGAAGCAUUCCGAAAUAUU